Molecule: ribosomal RNA, 691 nt
Filed under: uncultured bacterium
Lineage: Bacteria
Description: bacterial SSU rRNA
Rfam family: Bacterial small subunit ribosomal RNA
Source: RNAcentral
UGCAGUCGACGGGAAGCGGUGGAUUUUCAUUUCGGUGAAUCUACGCCGUGGAGAGUGGCGAACGGGUGCGUAACACGUAGGUAACCUGCCCUGAAAUGGGGGAUAACCACGGGAAACUGUGGCUAAUACCGCAUAAUCUCGCCGGGACGGUGGUUCUGGUGAGGAAAGCUUAGGCGAUUUGGGAGGGGCCUGCGGUCGAUUAGCUGGUUGGUGGGGUAAAGGCCUACCAAGGCGAUGAUCGAUAGCUGUUCUGAGAGGAAGACCAGCCACACGGGAACUGAGACACGGUUCCGACUCCUACGGGGGGCAGCAGUGAGGAAUAUUGCGCAAUGGGGGCAACCCUGACGCAGCAACGCCGCGUGGAGGACGAAGGUUUUCGGAUUGUAAACUCCUUAUCUGGGGGAAGAGGAAGGACGGUACCCCAGGACGAAGACACGGCUAACUAGGUGCCAGCAGCCGCGGUAAUACCUAGGUGUCGAGCGUUAUCCGGAAUUACUGGGCGUAAAGGGUGCGCAGGCGGCGAUACAAGUCUGGCGUGAAAGCUUCUGGCUUAACUGGGAGAGGACGUUAGAAACUGUAUGGCUAGAGUGAAUGAGAGGGGGGCGGAAAUCCCGGUGUAGUGGUGGAAUGCGUAGAUACCGGGAAGAACACCAGAGGCGAAGGCGGCCUCCUGGCAUUUUACUGACGCUGA